UACGUAGGGUGCGAGCGUUAAUCGGAAUUACUGGGCGUAAAGCGUGCGCAGGCGGAUGCUUAAGCCAGACGUGAAAUCCCCGGGCUUAACCUGGGAAUGGCGUUUGGAACUGGGCGUCUAGAGUGCGGCAGAGGGAGGUGGAAUUCCACGUGUAGCAGUGAAAUGCGUAGAGAUGUGGAGGAACACCGAUGGCGAAGGCAGCCUCCUGGGCUGACACUGACGCUCAUGCACGAAAGCGUGGGGGGCAAACAGG
This 253-nucleotide ribosomal RNA is filed under the name uncultured bacterium. RNAcentral describes it as "partial 16S ribosomal RNA". It matches the Rfam family "Bacterial small subunit ribosomal RNA", at positions 524 to 776 of the family's 1533-position model. The record is from RNAcentral.